AAAUGUUUGCCUUGUUCCUCAUCUUGUGGAAUCAUCGGUGGCUAUUUUCCACAGCGGCACGGAGCUGCCCGGCUUCUUAGAGUCAGCGCUGUCCCCCGCGGUCUGGGUGUGUCCCAGCAGUGUGGGGCAGGAGCACAUGUCAGGCUGCGGGAGGUGUGCAGUGCUGGUGGGCAGCACAGGAGGAGCAGCCAAAUGCCCGCGCUGCAUCAGGGCAGCUGUGUGUGUUGUUGAU
This 232-nucleotide long non-coding RNA is filed under the name Gallus gallus (chicken). The record is from RNAcentral. Lineage: Eukaryota; Metazoa; Chordata; Aves; Galliformes; Phasianidae.